ACGAACGCUGGCGGCGUGCUUAACACAUGCAAGUCGAACGGUGAAGCGCCUUCCUUUUUGGUGGGUGUGGAUGAGUGGCGAACGGGUGAGUAACACGUGAGUAACCUGCCCCCUUCUUCUGGAUAACCGCAUGAAAGUGUGGCUAAUACGGGAUAUUCUGGGUCUGUCGCAUGAUGGGUCUGGGAAAGAUAUUGUUUCGGUGGGGGAUGGGCUCGCGGCCUAUCAGCUUGUUGGUGGGGUGAUGGCCUACCAAGGCGGUGACGGGUAGCCGGCCUGAGAGGGUGGACGGUCACACUGGGACUGAGACACCGCCCGGACUCCUACGGGAGGCAGCAGUGGGGAAUAUUGCACAAUGGGCGCAAGCCUGAUGCAGCGACGCCGCGUGAGGGAUGGAGGCCUUCGGGUUGUGAACCUCUUUCGCCAGUGAAGCAGGCCUGCCUCGUUUGUGGGUGGGUUGACGGUAGCUGGAUAAGAAGCGCCGGCUAACUACGUG
This 493-nucleotide ribosomal RNA is filed under the name uncultured bacterium. Its description in RNAcentral is "partial 16S ribosomal RNA". It matches the Rfam family "Bacterial small subunit ribosomal RNA", at positions 29 to 507 of the family's 1533-position model. The record is from RNAcentral.